CAGAAAUGAAAGAUAUUGGAUCUGCAUGCAUGCCAUUCCAGAUCAUCGGCCUCGACGGCACUGUUGGCUAUUCCAUCGCACCGUCGUGCGAGCAAGACCCUUUUCUCCACCCUUCACCCAGCUAUCAUGGCUAAGGGCACGUCUUCCCUAGCCGCGAACACACAUAUGUGAGUAGGCUGUCGCCGAUUAAGGUUUUGCGCAAGGCACUACCGUUGCUGACGACGUGCUCUACUGCUCUCCGUCCUCCAGCGCAGUCGACAUGAGGUCGUCCUUGUGCAACAGGCACAGCUCGCGCGAGCUCCAUCGGGGACAAGGCCAUACCUCAACGGAGUGCAAGGUCGGCCGCGCCGUUCGGGAGUGAUGGAUGCGCAUAGCUGGUGGUGCGGGCAUGGGUACCGGCACACGGCGCAACUCUCUUUUUUCUUGUGAUAACAGAUCAAUAACAUAUCAUACCUUCCAAUUGCAUAGCUGAAUCGAAACAUGUCGCGUAGGAUAGUUCGGCUAGGCCGGAGACCUGCUGUUGGGGACUUGUUCUCAAAUGCUAUGAGUUAAGAACAAGGCAACACAAAAAUGUUAAUGGUUAAAGUCCUUCGUCCUUUGAAGCAUUAUCUCCCUUAGGAUAUAAUGAUCUUCAGACGAAGGUCAUGAAGGAUGUACCUUCAUCAUCACAGUAUAUAUUAAUGAAAGAAGAAGCAUAAGAAACAUGAGAGAUAACAUGAAUAAUCAUAUAACACCAUUAAUAUAUCUUUAUUAUAUCAUCAUGAAUGAAUAUGAACAAUAUUGAAUUACAUUUGUACCUUCGGCUUGACAGAAGGCAAAAGUCCAUACGUGACGCACAAGUGAAUACAAGUUAGCGUGAACAGUAUGGGUGUACUGUUCAUCUAUUUAUAGGCACAGGGCGCAGCCUGUGUAAAAUUACACUCAUGCCCUUUAUGUUUACUAUUGACUUAAGGACAAUCUAUCGAGGGCUAGAUAGCCUUUUCCUCUUUAAGUCGGUUUCUUUUUCUGCUGCUGAGCCGAAGCUUCCUUGCGCGUAGCUUCGGAACUAGUUUAACCUUCAUCCCGACCAUGCUUUUCAUAUUGUGUACAACUUCAUUCCGAGUCCAAAGGUUCC
RNAcentral lists this long non-coding RNA (1114 nucleotides) under Zea mays. Its description in RNAcentral is "long non-coding RNA (ZMAY_LNC001154)". Lineage: Eukaryota; Viridiplantae; Streptophyta; Magnoliopsida; Poales; Poaceae. The record is from RNAcentral.